AAAAAAAAAUAGAAGUACCGAAUCAUUCAGGAAAACUGAAAACGCAGGCAGUUAGCACGUUCUCCUUGAAGAACAACUGCCAGGGCGCACGAUUGGAGACCGAAGAAGGACGUGGGAGAUGAUCGGAGUGGAUAUGGCUUCAUCGCUAUUCACCCCAAUCUCAAUUUACGGUUCAUAUAAAAGGAGAAAAGGGAAAGACGAACAUAGCAAAAUCAAACCCAAAAAGAGGAAAAAAAAUUGUAUCAAAAUCGGUAGUGUGGGCAGAGCGGAUUCUCAAUCAAACCCAAAAGGCAGAGUAAAAUAGGUAUCAACUCGGGCGACACUGUUGCUGAUUCAGUGGAGGUAAAUGUAUGGGAGAUUUCGGAACAUUGUGAAAGUUACUGAAACUUGGUGUCCGCUU
Long non-coding RNA from Rosa chinensis, 400 nucleotides. RefSeq lists it as uncharacterized. The record is from RefSeq and is a predicted model, not a curated record. The transcript has 3 exons. NCBI's taxonomy places the organism in Eukaryota, Viridiplantae, Streptophyta, Magnoliopsida, Rosales, Rosaceae.